UAAGGCACGCGGUGAAUGCCU
Molecule: non-coding RNA, 21 nt
Filed under: Gallus gallus (chicken)
Lineage: Eukaryota; Metazoa; Chordata; Aves; Galliformes; Phasianidae
Also listed under: 1 other name
Source: RNAcentral